GUGACUGUGGGAAGGCGACACUGCUUUAGGGACAUUUCACAGUCUGCAAAGCUUCAGUGUCUUCAACUUGCAUCACUGCUUGGACAAAGCUAGAGUUUUCAGAAUGUCAAAGAUAAUGAAGAGCAGGAACGUGGAGAAAGCGGACUCGGGGUCCUGUGAUGAGCGCAUCCUGACCGACUGCCAUCAGAUGUACACGGAUACAGACAGCGGAUUAAUAGAUAUAGCUCAGUCCGUUGGCGUGACUUUGCUGCCUCCCAGGAAGAAGAUCACUGUGAUGCUGAUUGGGAACCACUCGGCUGGAAAAAGCUCCUUCAUCAACUGGUAUGUAGAGGAGCACAUACAAAAGACCGGAGUUGCGAUCGGGACACAGGGCUUCACUUUUGUUACAAGUGGGCGUAAGAGAGCGUCUCUUACGGGCAAUGCAACCUUCCAAAUGUAUCCACACUUUAAGACACUUCAGGAGGUUAAAGGCAUGUCUGAAUACGUUGGCACCGAGAUCUGCACUUCUCGGCAGAAGCGUUUCAGUUUGGUGACUUUUGUGGACACUCCUGGACUGGUGGACGGGGAUAUGAAGUAUCCCUUUGACGUGGACCAGGCAAUCCUUUGGCUAGGUGAAGUGUGUGACUUGAUCCUGGUCUUCUUCGACCCGAUGGGACAGGCUCUGUGCGAACGCACGCUCAACAUCGUGGAGCAACUCAGCAAACGGCAGGGAGAUCGACUCCACUUUUGCCUCAGCAAAGCUGAUGAGGUUGGCAGAGAGUCAGACAGACAGAGAGUGAUGAUGCAGAUUAUGCAAGAGUUGUAUAAACGUCCAGGAUUCAACAAGCGUGGCUUUGACAUGCCUAGCAUCUAUAUCCCCAAUCCCAACAAGCCCAGUGGAUGUGUGAAUCAGAUCGAAAAGGUGUGUCACACCAUAGAGAAGACCAUCAAUUACACAGUGCAGAACACCCUCAACACGAUGGAGAAGGACUGCGAGUUCCUCUUGGAGGCUGUUACUGAUACGUCCAACAACGACCGACAGUCUUACAAGGACAACCAGCGUGCCUGCAGUAGGAGUUAUGUCCUGGCCCUGCUGAGCUUUGGUGUGCUACUGCUCUUUACCGUGAUGCUGGGUAGCCUCUACAGGGAGGUGCUGGAGCUGGCACUGGGUGUUUAUGGCACUGAGAUACUAUUGCUCUGUCUGGCUCCAGUCAUAAGGGCGCUUGAUUAUCUGCCAGUGCAAAUUCAGCUCAUUAUUUCUGGUUUCUUGAUACAACUCUCGAUUGUUCUGCUCACCCUGGCUGGCCUCCUUUUUCACUCUAACACGACUCUGUCUGGAAAACAAAAGAUACAGCUGCAGGAAAAACUGGAGUAUGUGCAAGAGGUGGUGAAAACUAAAAAGUAAUCUUUGGCAGGUCUCCCAGAGCUGCUUGGCGAAUGCGAAUGGGUGGCCAUGCUCACCGAGUGUCAGUGAGUGGAAAUGCUGAUGGUGCUGUUCAGGGUGCAGCUAACCCAUUGCAACAUUGCCUGCUUCAGGUCCUCAUCAUAGCACACACAGCGUUAGUUAAAGUAGUAAACGACCUACUACUGGCCUCUGAUCAGGGUUGUGUCUCCUUGCUUGUGUUGCUUUAUCUUAGUGAUUUUGAUCUUUUUGAUACUAUAGAUCAUACUAUUCUCCUUGAUAGAUUAGAAAAUGUUGUUGGCAUUAAGGGAACGGUCCUCUCCUGGGUCAGGUCUUAUCUGACCAAUCUCUAUCAGUUCGUAGAUAUAAAUGGUGACUUCUCCACGCAUACUGAGGUUAAAUUUGGUGUUCCACAAGGAUCUGUUUUAGGCCCACUACUUUUUACUUUACAUAUGCUACCUCUGGGUCAAAUUAUUCGUAAACAUGGAAUUAGCUUCCACUGUUAUACUGAUGAUACACAGCUGUAUGUUUCAGCAAAGCCAGACAACAGACAGCAGCUUAAUAAAGUUGAGGAAUGUGUAAAGGACAUUAGACAUCGGAUGCUUAUUAACUUACUUUUACUUAAUUCUGAUAAGACAGAACUACUUCUACUAGGACCAUGUGCAGCUAGAAGUAUGCUUUCUGAUUACAUAGUUACUCUGGAUGGCCUUUCCGUUUCAUCAUGUGCAGCAGUAAAAGACCUUGGACGGAUUAUUGACCCCAGUCUUUCAUUUGACACUCAUGUAGAUAAUAUUAGCCUUCUUUCAUCUCAGAAAUAUAGUUAAGAUACGAAAUAUAAUGUCACUACAUGAUGCAGAAAAAUUAGUUCAUGUUUUUGUUACCUCUUGGCUGGAUUAUUGUAAUGGUUUACUGUCUGAUUGUUCCAGUAGGAGCAUAAACAAUCUCCAGUUAGUCCAGAAUGCAGCUGCACGAAUCCUUACUAGAACCAAAAAGUUCACCCCUAUCUUAUCCACACUGCAUUGGCUCACAGUAAAAUUUCGUAUUGAUUAUAAAAUACUACUGAAUGUCUAUGAAUGGUCUUGCGGCACAGUACCUGAGCAAUCUUUUGGUCUUCUAUGAUCCACCAUGCCUACUUAGAUCAAAAGGUGCAGGGUAUUUUUUGGUACCUAGAACAGUGAAGGCUACAGCAGGUGGAAGAGCUUUCUCUUACAAAGCCCCACAGUUAUGGCACAGCCUUCGAAUCACUGUCAGGGACUCAGACACAGUCUCAGUGUUUAAGUCUAGGCUGAAAACAUAUUUAUUUACUCAAACUUACCCCAUUAUGGGAUAGUAAGCAUACCGAACAAUCUCUCCCUCUCUUUAUCACCCUCUCCCUUUCUCCUUCACGCAUGCCACACAUGAUUUUAUGGAGAUGCCAGUGAUCCUGACUCUUUCUGCUCUCUGGACGUGCCUGAUGCUGGAUCUGGGGAAGGCUGGCAAGGGACUUGAUGAUCUCGGCCAGUGGUGAGGACUCCAUGACGGCGCUCUUCCUCAAUGCCCGGAUUUCAGCACCAGUGUAACACUUUUCCUGGUUUGGGUCGGAAAUGAGGAAGCAGAUGGCAGGCUGAGGACAAUUCAAAAGGGCUCUUUAUUUUUACUUUUGCUUUUCAGUACACCAAACACAGACACGCACACAACGGCUCUUUGCUGGUCUCCCCUCUCUCUCUCUCUCUCUCUCUCUCUCUCUCUCUCUCUCUCUCUCUCUCUCUCUCUGUCUUUCUCAGUGCUCGCCUCUCUCCUGUUUAUCCUCAUCACCAUUUCAGUGAAACACAGAACUCACCUUCUCCAUCUCCGCCCUCCAUAUACAAAUCUUCCAUUUUACCACGCCCCUGCUUCCACAAUGUUAUUAAACUGGCUAUUUUCUCUUAGGAAGAGAGCAUUUACUGGGAAGAUACACACUGACAUAUUAUUAUUUUUUAAUCAUUAUAUAAAUUCAUUCAUUUAAACAUGCAUUAAUUCUAAACCUAGUCCAAAAGUCUGCGUUGUGCACCAAGAACUAUUUAAUUAAUUAGGUUUCAAAAAUGUUUUAUAAAGUUAUAUAUUUUUCUAAAUAGUUUUUUUUUAUUUGUAUAUUAGUGAAGAAUGAUGUAAUUUUGUUCAGGAAGCAUUAUUGCACAAAUUAUACAGAAUAAAAUUGACUGAGAAGAAACUUCUUCCUAGUGGACUCAGACUUUUAAACUGUAUCGUACUCUGUCCAUGACAACAAAUGGAGCAGGAAAAUAAGCAGAGGAUGAAGCAGGAGAUGCCGGCUGAAAAGCAGACCACGCCCUUGCUGAAGAAGAAAGACACCAUGCUGCAGAAGGGUGGCAUGGUGCUUUAGAUACCUCAGAUGGAUCUGAUAGCAGAGCAUGUAAAGCCACAGGUCAACAAUGGAGCCAUCGAGGACAACACAGACUUGAGAAAUUCUCCAUACCGGCGAACAGACAGCCGAAGACCAGCACAUCAGCAAGAAAAUUAACCUGCCUAUUACAACACAUGAAAACUAGAACUUCAUCUAAACAACUUGUAUGAGGCUUUGAUACUGAAUACACAUGCAGACAACAAAUCUUCAAAUACACCCACACAACUGAUAUGCCUGUACACUCUAACUGUAUGUCCUCGGGUGUAAUUCUUUUCUUUUACUAGUUGUGUGGAGUUUUUUACCAGGACAUGUGUGAAUAGCCAAAUGUGCUAUGUUCUAUGCCAUUUAACACAUCUACAUAUAAUACCAGGAAAUAACAGCUGAAAUUCUAAACUCUCUUCUCAUAUUUAUCUUUUGCUCUCAAACUCAAAUACUUUCAGGAAGUCUACUUUUUGGAAAGUCUGUACUUUCAGAGAAAACUGUACAUAGUAUAUUUUAAUUUAAAAACUAAAUAAAUAAAUCUGUUUGUGAAUCCACAGAAGAAGCUGUAUGUGGAGUACCUCCGCUUGAGUGUUCAGGAUAUGGACUAAAGCAUUUGGGUUGAAAUCUACUGGAGUGAUAAAUGGAAAGAACAAUGAACAAGUGUUAGGAAGGAAAUCAGUAAAACACCACUAAACUUCCCUGCAUUAUAGAGGAGGAGAAAUAUAUUUAUCAACUGUUUUUCUCUCCUUAUAAUGCCAACACACUGUGUUGCUGAAGGUUACUAUUAGUUUACACACAACCAAGGUUGUGUGUACCAAGGCAUGCAUUGUUCAAUAUCUUGUAUGUACAGGCUUUCUACCAAUAAUACAGUACUUCACUACAACCGUACAGCAUUACACCAUGAGUUAAACCAAAGAUUUUUUCUUUGCCUUUAACAGGAUUUUCAUUCAUACUGUAACAGCUUAAAAUAUACACCUCACUAUGUCACUGUAUGUUUUUAAUUCAAUAACAAAAGAUACACAGACAAUUGUUUAGUUAUGCAAGUUUUACUAAGCAUAAAUUUGUAUACCUUUACCAUUUUACUUUUCCCUUAUUAUAAUAAUAAAGCAACAAUUUGAUUGGA
Molecule: RNA transcript, 4866 nt
Organism: Ictalurus punctatus (channel catfish)
Lineage: Eukaryota; Metazoa; Chordata; Actinopteri; Siluriformes; Ictaluridae
Gene name: sarcalumenin
Exons: 14
Source: RefSeq, a predicted model, not a curated record